Rattus norvegicus (Norway rat) is the source of this 69-nucleotide non-coding RNA. NCBI's taxonomy places the organism in Eukaryota, Metazoa, Chordata, Mammalia, Rodentia, Muridae. The record is from Rfam.
GGGGAUUUGGCUCAGUGGUAGAGCGCUUGCCUAGGAAGCGCAAGGUCCUGGGUUCGGUCCCCAGCCCCC